Sinocyclocheilus grahami is the source of this 2704-nucleotide long non-coding RNA. RefSeq lists it as uncharacterized. The transcript has 2 exons. The record is from RefSeq and is a predicted model, not a curated record. Lineage: Eukaryota; Metazoa; Chordata; Actinopteri; Cypriniformes; Cyprinidae.
CCUCAGCAUGGGUAACGUUCCUCUCAGUCAUUUUAAUGAAUGUUGUGCAGAAUUAUCUUUCGGAAUGGUCGCCUAUAUUUUAAGUCGUCGUAAGGACUAAUGUGGAAAAGUAUGGACAAGUGUGGAAAACAUAAACACGUCUCAAAGUUGUGUGUUCCGUCGACGGAAAUCUAGCCUGAGGGGAAGAGCCUCAUCCCAGACUCUGUUUGCCUUUCUUUUGUGAGUAAAAUUCAUCAUAAGUCAUACAUAAAUACAUAAACUUUGACCCCUCUAAACAUCUGGGCCACGUGCCUAGAGCAGAUAGGUGAUUUAUUACUGCCAGUUUGAAGGAACAUGAUUUGAAUGCAGAAGCUUGACUUUGGGCCUUAUGUGUUGGUGUUUGUGCUGUUCUCCUGUUUAAAAUCUGCAGUAGCAGGUUGUAACAAACCUCAAUAAUACACUACUAAAGAUUGUUUAUCUUAAGGGGUUUGUUGCAAGGGCACCUGAUCUUACUCCAAAUUCACUGUCACAGAUUUGGACAAUGCUGUCAGAGAUGACAGAAUUGUGAAAUAUUAUAUUUUUAAAAAUCUGCACAGAUUUAAUGGGUAAUAUUUAAAGCCCUUUAUCCCACACUGCAUUUGCAUAUUACACUCCAUUGCUUGCAAUGAUGGCUUGUGUUGUGAAAUGUAGGUCAUAGCGCAACCUUUGCCGUUUUCGCCUCUGAGCUUUUUGCAGAGCAUUGCCACUAAAUAUAAUCUCAUGGUUUGGAAGAGAUGCAUCCAUGCCUUUCGUAAAUCAUUAUAUGCAUAUUAGGCCCUGUGUUUGUGUAUUUUUGUUUAAUGUAAUGAAUAUUCGAUGGUUUGAUUAAGUGUUUGCCAUGUAUAAAGGGAUUAGCUGGUUUCAUGAUAUCGACGUGAGUCAAAUAGGGGUUGGCAAGUGUAGUGCAUUAUUUUAUUGUGCACAUAUGAUGUCUAAUAUGAAACCACAGUUGUAGUGACCGUACUAAACAUGACACUGUCCCGUCGAUCGGUCGCUCAGGUGAGUGCUGCUGUUGGCUUCUCUCUUGGCAUUCACCGCGUGCCUUAAUUGUAUUGAAAUUAAAUCAAGGUCCACUGUGAACACAAAGAGCAAAAACCCAAGUUCCUGAACGUCAUCCAACUUUGUCUUUUCCUACAAACUCUCUCCGUUCCUCUUCAUCUUUGCAGUCUGGUCUGUUCUCACGGCUAACGGUUCAAUCAUGCACUUCAGCUUCCCUGCCGGUUCACUCACUCGUCUGUAUUUGGUCCCUAUGCACUGUGCACAUCCUGUUCUUGUCCUUCAGUACAAUACCACAUUUCUGGGCUCAUCUAAAAUCCCUCUCUUCUCACCUGUCCUCCUCCUCCUCUUGCAUCUGAUGUGGGCUUCGGUGGUGUUAGUGCAGUCCAAACAAGAAGUCCUAAUCUUGCACACACACACUCAUGGACACGUACAAACACACUAUCGCACAUCUUUCCGAGGGUUCUCCCUGUGCGUGCGGGUUUUAAAUUGCAUAAUUCCCCGUCUUCCAUCGGCCUAGAUGUGUGGUAAGAACAAAACAUACAUGAUAGUGCAACACAGUGUUUCUCAUGCUCAUAUUUUACACACAUUCAGAAACACAUUUACAAAAACAUUCAGACAUUCACAAUUCUAGCUAUAUCCUGUACCGAAUGCAUGUCCUGAGAAAUUACAAGACAGCGAGAGAGAGGAGACCGAGAGAUAAAGAGGAUCUACCUUUUGUUGUACCCAUUCUCCUAGAAGCCCUGGCACCUGCCUUCUGUUUCAUUCCAGCAGACCUUUUCCCUCUCUCGGUCAAACAAAGAGGACCAGCAAAGCUGUGUGUGAGGGAUGUGCGAAGAUGCAAAGCUAUGCACUGCUCUCCCCCUCGUCUAUUCAGCACGUCCACCGCCAUGAUGAGACGGCUGCCAGCAUCACAAUGUAAAGCUAGCGCUUCCCUAUGACAGUCUGUUCUCUCCCUCUCUCCCCCCACCUCUCUCUCUGUCUUUUUAUUUCGCUCACUCUCUCUCAGCAUACGCACACCUAUACGGCAAGUUAAAAAAAAGUACGGUUAAAAUCACAUCACAUAAAAUGAGUUGAAGCUGACGAUGACAGUUGAAAUAAAUGCAUACGUUACAGAGAAGAUGUACAUGUAUUUCGGAAAAUAAUAAUAUUCCAAAACACAUCAGUUACAGCCACAAGCAUCAGAUCACAUACAACAAUUACCCAGAAGCACGGUCUAUUUCUUCAAAACUACUGACAAUAAGCAGCUAAUUAUCUUUAGCUUCAUUCUUUUUCCUCGCAUUCUCGCUCUAGCGGAGAAAACAGAAAUGUAUAUCCUGGUUUUUCCCAUUCUCUUAGUUCCGUCAGUUCUUGCUAUUCUCCAUCCAAGGGUGAACAGGGUGUCCUGCUGAAGCUCUCUGCCCCAGCUGAGGCUCCUUUUCCUGGGGGCUGGAGAGCAGUAUUGCAAGGGGAGAUGUUCUGGGGGUGGGGUGGAGAAGGUUUAGGGGAGAGGUAGGCAGGCAGGUAGGAAGGUUUUCACGCAUGCAGGAAGGGAAAAUCAGGUGCUGGGAUGUUGCAGCCGCUUAAAAACCAAAACCAAAAAAAAGAGGAGUAUUCUCCCCCGUGAGAAAAUCAGCCUGAGAAAAUCCAUUUGUGCACGCCACAAAAAAUGUUUUUUUUUUUUUUUUUUACAAAAAGCUGAGAAUGCGCA